Molecule: long non-coding RNA, 312 nt
Filed under: Mus caroli (Ryukyu mouse)
Lineage: Eukaryota; Metazoa; Chordata; Mammalia; Rodentia; Muridae
Description: predicted gene 29018 (MGP_CAROLIEiJ_G0002339.1)
Source: RNAcentral
CUCACACCAUCUCAUCUUCAUGCCUAAUUCCUUCUGGGACAAGACACACUUGCUACUUCAUUACUUCAUCUAUCGUGCCAUUCUUGCAGAAUCUGGUGACAGAAGGACUUUAUCAUAUAGAAAGACUCAAGAACCCCACAGCCCCAUGAUUACUGCCAUCAGCACACCCAGGCAUAGUGGGAAAAGUGCCCAUAUAGAAGACUGAAGAGUUCUUUGUGGCGCUGGGAUGGCAACUCGGUAGUAAAAUGCUUGCCUCACAAGCACGAGAGUCUUAAUUCAGUCCUCAGACCCCAAUAAAAAUUCUGGACAUAA